This 450-nucleotide ribosomal RNA is filed under the name uncultured bacterium. RNAcentral's name for it is "partial 16S ribosomal RNA". It matches the Rfam family "Bacterial small subunit ribosomal RNA", at positions 338 to 795 of the family's 1533-position model. The record is from RNAcentral.
CCUACGGGUGGCUGCAGUCGAGAAUCUUUCACAAUGGGGGCAACCCUGAUGGAGCGACGCCGCGUGGAGGAUAAGGUCUUCGGAUUGUAAACUCCUAUCAUGCGAGAACAAGGUUGCAGGGCUAACACCUUUGCAAAUUGAUGGUACCGCAAGAGGAAGAGACGGCUAACUCUGUGCCAGCAGCCGCGGUAAUACAGAGGUCUCAAGCGUUGUCGGGAAGGGCUGGGCGGAAGCGGUGUAUGGGUGGCGUGAAAGCCCGGGGCUCAACCUCGGAAUUGCAUCCGAUACUGCCAUGCUGGAGUACUGAAGAGGUGACUAGAAUUCUAGGUGUAGCAGUGAAAUGCGUAGAUAUCUAGAGGAAUACCAACGGCGAAGGCAGGUCACUGGGCAGUUACUGACACUGAGGCACGAAGGCCAGGGGAGCAAACGGGAUUAGAUACCCUUGUAGUC